GUGUCAGCAGCCGCGGUAACACGUAUGGGGCGAGCGUUGUUCGGAGUUAUUGGGCGUAAAGGGCGUGUAGGCGGCUCUCGCAAGCUUGGUGUUAAAGGUUUCGGCUUAACCGGAACAGUGCGCUGAGAACUGCGGAGCUGGAGUCUAGGAGGGGGAGCUGGAAUUCCAGGUGUAGGGGUGAAAUCUGUAGAUAUCUGGAAGAACACCGGUGGCGAAGGCGAGCUCCUGGCCAUAGACUGACGCUGAGGCGCGAAAGCGUGGGGAGCAAACAGGAUUAGAUACCCUCGUAGUCC
RNAcentral lists this ribosomal RNA (293 nucleotides) under uncultured bacterium. RNAcentral's name for it is "partial 16S ribosomal RNA". It matches the Rfam family "Bacterial small subunit ribosomal RNA", at positions 505 to 796 of the family's 1533-position model. The record is from RNAcentral.